This is a long non-coding RNA of Triticum aestivum (bread wheat), 692 nucleotides long. RefSeq lists it as uncharacterized. The transcript has 3 exons. The record is from RefSeq and is a predicted model, not a curated record. NCBI's taxonomy places the organism in Eukaryota, Viridiplantae, Streptophyta, Magnoliopsida, Poales, Poaceae.
CAACGAUCUGCUGUCCCUUCACAGCUUGACCUAAAAAAAAGUGCGAUCGUGAUUUCCCAACAUCCCAGCCCUAGGCCGCCGACGCCAGACGCUGGACGUCGGACGCCAACAAGCAGUAUUGCAGUUCAGGGGACCCCGUCUUCACGCUUGGUCAAUUGUUCUCCGAAUCUAGACGCCACAAGCAGCACACGGACUGAUGCUAUCAUGGAUUCGACCGUCAAAAUCAGAAUUGUGCGCUAGUAUACCGCCAAGAAACAAGACAUAUGCAUCGUUUAGCAAUAAAAGGAAAAGGAAGAAGACAUCGGAUAAAUUGGUACAAUCACAGAGUGUUGCACAAAAUUUGUUGAAACAUUCUCUCUUGAUAGUUCAUCUGAUGUUGAGGCAUAUCAUCUUAUUUCCAAGUUGAAGAUUAUGAGAUCCACUUUGCCAGAUGGCGUACUGUUUGCUCUGGAGAUUUUUGGGCAUGUCAGAGAAGUUGAUUGUUAGCCGAAUAUCUUCAUUGCUUAUCGCAUCUUAUUUGCUGUGUCUGUGACGGUCGUAUCGGCUGAAGAAAAAUUUCAAAGCUAGAAUUGUUGAAGAAUUAUUUGAGGUCAACAAUGACUCGAGAGAGGUUAAAUUGUUUGGCUACAUUAUUCAUCGAGGAGAAAUUAUUGGAUGAGAUUGACAUCGACCCCAUCAUAAGUGACUUUGCA